GACAGAAAGACCCUAUGAAGCUUGACUGUAGCUUGGAAUUGGGUUCGGGCUCUUCUUGCGCAGCCUAGGUGGGAGGCGUUGAAGGCUUUCUUUUGGGAAAGCUGGAGCCAUCAGUGAGAGACCACUCUGGAGGAGCUAGAAUUCUAAUGGCGUUCCUUGAAGCAGGACGCUUGACAGUUUCAGGUGGGCAGUUUGACUGGGGCGGUCACCUCCUAAAAGGUAACGGAGGUGUGCAAAGGUUCCCUCAGGCUGGACGGAAAUCAGCCGUAGAGUGUAAAGGCAGAAGGGAGCUUGACUGCAAGACCUACAAGUCGAGCAGGGGCGAAAGCCGGCCUUAGUGAUCCGACGGUUCCAUGUGGAAGGGCCGUCGCUCAACGGAUAAAAGUUACUCUAGGGAU
RNAcentral lists this ribosomal RNA (398 nucleotides) under Chlorella vulgaris. Its description in RNAcentral is "bacterial LSU rRNA". It matches the Rfam family "Bacterial large subunit ribosomal RNA", at positions 2079 to 2475 of the family's 2925-position model. Lineage: Eukaryota; Viridiplantae; Chlorophyta; Trebouxiophyceae; Chlorellales; Chlorellaceae. The record is from RNAcentral.